GAUGAAGAACGUAGCGAAAUGCGAUAAGUAAUGUGAAUUGCAGAAUUCAGUGAAUCAUCGAAUCUUUGAACGCACAUUGCGCCCGCCAGUAUUCUGGCGGGCAUGCCUGUUCGAGCGUCAUUUCAACCCUCGAACCCCUCCGGGGGGUCGGCGUUGGGGAUCGGCCCUUUCACCGGGUGCCGGCCCCUAAAUACAGUGGCGGUCUCGCCGCAGCCUCUCAUGCGCAGUAGUUUGCACACUCGCACCGGGAGCGCGGCGCGUCCUCGUCCGUAAAACACCCCAAACUUCUGAAAUGUUGACCUCGGAUCAGGUAGGAAUACCCGCUGAACUUAAGCAUAUCAAUAAGCGGAGGA
Molecule: unclassified non-coding RNA, 353 nt
Filed under: soil metagenome
Description: partial contains 5.8S ribosomal RNA, internal transcribed spacer 2, and large subunit ribosomal RNA
Rfam family: 5.8S ribosomal RNA (bases 1-120)
Source: RNAcentral